AGGGGCGGAUGUAGCCAAGUGGAUCAAGGCAGUGGAUUUUGUGAAUC
Molecule: transfer RNA, 47 nt
Filed under: Pteroceltis tatarinowii
Lineage: Eukaryota; Viridiplantae; Streptophyta; Magnoliopsida; Rosales; Cannabaceae
Description: partial tRNA-His
Source: RNAcentral